GUGAACGCUGGCGGUAGGCCUAACACAUGCAAGUCGAACGGCAGCACAGUAAGAGCUUGCUCUUACGGGUGGCGAGUGGCGGACGGGUGAGGAAUACAUCGGAAUCUACUUUUUCGUGGGGGAUAACGUAGGGAAACUUACGCUAAUACCGCAUACGACCUACGGGUGAAAGCAGGGGAUCUUCGGACCUUGCGCGAUUGAAUGAGCCGAUGUCGGAUUAGCUAGUUGGCGGGGUAAAGGCCCACCAAGGCGACGAUCCGUAACUGGUCUGAGAGGAUGAUCAGCCACACUGGAACUGAGACACGGUCCAGACUCCUACGGGAGGCAGCAGUGGGGAAUAUUGGACAAUGGGCGCAAGCCUGAUCCAGCCAUACCGCGUGGGUGAAGAAGGCCUUCGGGUUGUAAAGCCCUUUUGUUGGGAAAGAAAAGCAGCAGGUUAAUACCCCGCUGUUCUGACGGUACCCAAAGAAUAAGCACCGGCUAACUUCGUG
This 491-nucleotide ribosomal RNA is filed under the name uncultured bacterium. Its description in RNAcentral is "partial 16S ribosomal RNA". It matches the Rfam family "Bacterial small subunit ribosomal RNA", at positions 29 to 507 of the family's 1533-position model. The record is from RNAcentral.